This 214-nucleotide ribosomal RNA is filed under the name uncultured bacterium. RNAcentral describes it as "partial 16S ribosomal RNA". It matches the Rfam family "Bacterial small subunit ribosomal RNA", at positions 568 to 774 of the family's 1533-position model. The record is from RNAcentral.
UGCGUAGGUGGCCAAUUAAGUCAAAUGUGAAAUCCCCCGAGCUUAACUUGGGAAUUGCAUUCGAUACUGGUUGGCUAGAGUAUGGGAGAGGAUGGUAGAAUUCCAGGUGUAGCGGUGAAAUGCGUAGAGAUCAGGAGGAAACACUCCAGUGGGACGGAAGGCACGCUACCUGGACCAACAUUGACACUGAGGCACGAAGCGUGGGGAGCAAACA